UAAGCAGGCAAGGGUUAUUAAUGGGGAGAACAGAGGACAAUACGAUAUGCCAAACUACAUUCGUGCUUGAAAUUGUUUUGAUGCUUCUUGUUUUUUAAUUCCAUAUUUGUCCUAAGCCUCAGAAUGUUAAGCCGAAAAGUCUUAUGUGAUCUAGGUAAAUCUAUUCAUGAAUUGACCUCAUAUUGAGUAAAUACAAGAAUGACUAUAUGUACUCUGCUAGGAUAUUCAAAUUACCUGUAUGAUUU
This 245-nucleotide long non-coding RNA is filed under the name Gossypium barbadense (sea-island cotton). Its description in RNAcentral is "long non-coding RNA (GBAR_LNC014128)". The record is from RNAcentral. Lineage: Eukaryota; Viridiplantae; Streptophyta; Magnoliopsida; Malvales; Malvaceae.